CAGUAGUCACGUAGUUUGACUCCUGGCUCAGAACGAACGCUGGCGGCAUGCCUAACACAUGCAAGUCGAACGAACCCUUCGGGGUUAGUGGCGCACGGGUGCGUAACGCGUGGGAAUCUGCCCAAAGGUUCGGAAUAACACAGAGAAAUUUGUGCUAAUACCGGAUAAUGUCUUCGGACCAAAGAUUUAUUACCUUUGGAUGAGCCCGCGUUGGAUUAGCUUGUUGGUGAGGUAACGGCUCACCAAGGCGACGAUCUAUAGUUGGUCUGAGAGGAUGAUCAGCCACACUGGGACUGAGACACGGCCCAGACUCCUACGGGAGGCAGCAGUGGGGAAUAUUGGACAAUGGGCGAAAGCCUGAUCCAGCAAUGCCGCGUGAGUGAUGAAGGCCUUAGGGUUGUAAAGCUCUUUUACCAGGGAUGAUAAUGACAGUACCUGGAGAAUAAGCUCCGGCUAACUCCGUG
This 464-nucleotide ribosomal RNA is filed under the name uncultured bacterium. RNAcentral describes it as "bacterial SSU rRNA". It matches the Rfam family "Bacterial small subunit ribosomal RNA", at positions 1 to 507 of the family's 1533-position model. The record is from RNAcentral.